CCUACGGGUGGCAGCAGUGGGGAAUAUUGCGCAAUGGGCGAAAGCCUGACGCAGCGACGCCGCGUGAGGGAUGAAGGUCUUCGGAUCGUAAACCUCUGUCAGCAGGGAAGAACGGUCACUGUGCUAAUCAGCAGUGAAUUGACGGUACCUGCAAAGGAAGCACCGGCUAACUCCGUGCCAGCAGCCGCGGUAAUACGGAGGGUGCGAGCGUUAAUCGGAAUUACUGGGCGUAAAGCGCGCGUAGGCGGUAUGUCAAGUCAAGGGUGAAAUCCCCGCGCUCAACGUGGGAACUGCCUUUGAAACUGGCAGACUGGAGUGUGUGAGAGGAUAGUGGAAGUCCAGGUGUAGGGGUGAAAUGCGUAGAUAUCUGGAGGAACAUCAGUGGCGAAGGCGACUAUCUGGCACAUAACUGACACUGAGGCUCGAAAGUGUGGGUAUCAAACAGGAUUAGAUACCCCUGUAGUC
Molecule: ribosomal RNA, 465 nt
Filed under: uncultured bacterium
Lineage: Bacteria
Description: partial 16S ribosomal RNA
Rfam family: Bacterial small subunit ribosomal RNA
Source: RNAcentral